GCCUUCGUGGUGUAGUGGUCAUCACGCUCGGCGCGUAUUCGAGAGGUCCGUGGUUCGAAUCCCGGCGAGGGCA
RNAcentral lists this transfer RNA (73 nucleotides) under Stegodyphus mimosarum. It matches the Rfam family "tRNA". Rfam says of the family: Transfer RNA (tRNA) molecules are approximately 80 nucleotides in length. Their secondary structure includes four short double-helical elements and three loops (D, anti-codon, and T loops). Further hydrogen bonds mediate the characteristic L-shaped molecular structure. tRNAs have two regions of fundamental functional importance: the anti-codon, which is responsible for specific mRNA codon recognition, and the 3' end, to which the tRNAs corresponding amino acid is attached (by aminoacyl-tRNA synthetases). tRNAs cope with the degeneracy of the genetic code in two manners: having more than one tRNA (with a specific anti-codon) for a particular amino acid; and 'wobble' base-pairing, i.e. permitting non-standard base-pairing at the 3rd anti-codon position. The record is from Rfam by way of RNAcentral. Lineage: Eukaryota; Metazoa; Arthropoda; Arachnida; Araneae; Eresidae.